GAAGUACUUUCUUUGUUUCGAAUUACUUGUCUUAGAUUUGUCUAGAUACAGAAGUAUUUAAUACUAAAAUGAGUCUAGAUACAUCCGUAUGUAGAUAAAUUCAAGACAAGUAAUUCGGUACGGAAGGAAUAGAUC
This is a non-coding RNA of Triticum aestivum (bread wheat), 135 nucleotides long. The record is from Rfam. Lineage: Eukaryota; Viridiplantae; Streptophyta; Magnoliopsida; Poales; Poaceae.